RNAcentral lists this ribosomal RNA (433 nucleotides) under uncultured bacterium. Its description in RNAcentral is "partial 16S ribosomal RNA". It matches the Rfam family "Bacterial small subunit ribosomal RNA", at positions 29 to 507 of the family's 1533-position model. The record is from RNAcentral.
AACGAACGCUGGCGGCAUGCCUAACACAUGCAAGUCGAACGAGACCUUCGGGUCUAGUGGCGCACGGGUGCGUAACGCGUGGGAACCUGCCCUUAGGUUCGGAAUAACUCCCCGAAAGGGGUGCUAAUACCGGAUAAUGUCUUCGGACCAAAGAUUUAUCGCCUUUGGAUGGGCCCGCGUUGGAUUAUCUAGUUGGUAGGGUAAAAGCCUACCAAGGCGACGAUCCAUAGCUGGUCUGAGAGGAUGAUCAGCCACACUGGGACUGAGACACGGCCCAGACUCCUACGGGAGGCAGCAGUGGGGAAUAUUGGACAAUGGGCGAAAGCCUGAUCCAGCAAUGCCGCGUGAGUGAUGAAGGCCUUAGGGUUGUAAAGCUCUUUUACCCGGGAUGAUAAUGACAGUACCGGGAGAAUAAGCGCCGGCUAACUCCGUG